GGUAAUUUUAUCAAGCUUUUAAUGUAGUAGCACUAGUAUGAAUGAGCUCCAUUUCGCUUAUUUCUACAAAAGGGACAUUAGAUAGUAAGUUUAUUGAGAUGCGAAAAAACUCGUGCAUCGCAUGCAUUCACCACGGAGAUGCAUAGAAUUGCAAUUUUUCUAUCUAACAGAUAACCAAAUCAAAUUGUUUAGUCUUAUCAUUUGAAUCUGUUUGGAGGCUUUGCAAAUGUAUAAAAGUCAGGCACACGACCCCUAAAGUCAUUUUAGCAAGAUGGGACUUGGUAUUGUAUUUUUGCAAAGUUCAAUGACCAUGAACCUCGUUAUUUGGAGUGGAUAAGCAUCUUAGAGGAAGGGUGAUAAAACGAGGAGCAUGAUCGAAAAGAUGGUUUGAGGAACAAGAGUGAGGAUAAUCCAAGUGCCUUAUUGAAAACCGAGCGUUGAGUAAAUAUAACGAAAAGAUGGGGGGAGUAGCAUGCUUUGCUUUCUUUUGCUGUUUUCUCUAAUAGAUUGACCAACAAUCAGCUUUGGCCCCCUUAUUCAAGUUUUGGCUAUCGCGCCGCGGCAGCACAACCGAGUUUCGUGGCAAACAGUAGGCAUUUGAAUCAAAUAUUCAUAUAAAUAUCCUUGGUUUAUUUAUACCCUGUCUAAAUGCAAGCAACACUAUUGCUUGCUGAAGGAAAAGGGUUUGAAAGGCAAAAAAAAAACUAAUAAGGAUUAAGGUCAGCCAUUCAAUCGAUAAUCGAGUAUAGUCGACCAUCGAAAACGUUUCAUUAACAAUCGAAUAUUCCAUCAGCAGUUAGCAUUUCAUUAAUGGCUUGGACAUUUCUUUAACAAUCGAGCAUUUCACCAAGGGUCAAGCAUACUUGAUAUUCAAACAAGUCAAUUUCGAAAGUGCCUAUUCCAUAUUGAAUUUGUUUGAAAAAAAAAUAAAAUAAAAAAAGGAAGAAAAAAAAAUUUUCUUAAUUCUAUCCACUUGGAAAUCAAACGUUUGCCUCAACUCUUUCUACCUUGCCCAGCCUAUCUAACAGCAGUAUGCCAUAUCGACUAUACUACGAAUUAUGUAAACCCAUCUAGUUAUUGGGAUGGAAAUCCGCCUCUCAAAAAAAAAAAAAAGGAUUGAUUUUCAAUUAAAUAACCUACAUUUACCAACGUUGAUUACCUAAUGACGAUUGAAAAAAAAAAUAAAUAAAUAAAGAAAAAAAAAAUUGCAAGCAGCCGGAUUUGUCCUGAUAAUAAUAAUCAACAGACUCCUCAAUCAGUUGUGGAUUGUUAGAUAAAAUGUUUUAUCUUUUAUCUCCCAUUCUUUCAUUUAUUUUAUCUGCUUUUUAUUUUUUUAAUUUUCUUUGUUUGUUUCUUUUUUGCAGUCUCGAUGAAGGAGAAGAACGUCUGUAAAAAUAUCAAACAUCGUCGAAAAAAAUUCUAUCAAGUGGAUAAGCGAUCGUUCACCUGCAAAUUCUUAUCUCUCCCCUUCUUGCUGUUGCAUUGCAGUAAACUGGUAAAAGCGAGAUAUCGGUUUUUCCGUGCAGCGCUGAAACCUGCGUAAAGCUCUAGAAUGAAAAAGAAAAAAGAAAGGAUCGAAAGAGGAACCAAAAUGUCUUAUGUUCCAAGUGUGUGCUGGUAAGUUGGGUAAAUUCACCAACAGUAACUUGUGCAUCUCUUUGUUGCCAGUGAACUUUCGCAUCUAAUUUGCAGUUCAUCAAUUGAGCCUUAAUAAGUUGUCAUUAUAGAGAGAGAGAGAGAGGUAGGAAAAAAAAAAGCACAUACACACACACAAAGCUUCAUAAUUACAAUUCCGUUUGAUGGCUUAUUUCAUUGAUGCUUUGUGUUUGUUUGCUUUUUUUCUUCUUACGUUGAACAUUUACAUUAUGCUAUAAGUUUGUCUUUCGAACGUCAAUUUACACAUGGAAUGGAAACGUGUUUUCUACUAAGCAUGUGCUUUGGAAGAGUGUGUCUCGGCUUACCCUUCUUCUCCAGGUUAAUUGACUGAUAGUAACUCCGGAACGAGCGGUUACUCACUUCUUGCUCCUUGUUUUUCCGUCCUACCCUAUCUCUUCUCUCCUAGACCUCUUUCCUAACGGUUUAUUCUCGCUUAUCAGUUUAAACUUGUGCCUAUACGCACAAGGAGUUGAUUAUGUUUCCACGUCCAAUUGUUAUCCGUCUCUUUCCGCUUCCUUAUCUGCUGCAAAACUUUGGUUGCCCCUGCCUCGUAAUUCGAUUUUCUGACUGUGGCUAAUAGCUUUAUGCCCUCUUGUUCAUGGACGGUGGAAUGGAUGAUGACAGCUUGUUACAUGCAUGUCUUCUUCUUACUUAUGUUUGCAAUUAAAUAGAUAUCGCUCUUGUGCUUGCCUAAUUAUGAGUUCAUUAUGUUCACUUGUGCUUGUACUUAAAAUUUCAUUUACGCAUUCCUUGAUCUCAUUCAUAAAGCGUUCUAGGGAGCUUCACAUCCGUGCUAGAUAGGAUGAUCUUUAUUUUAAUAGACGAUCGGAAGUCAUUGGCUUGGUUGCUAGUAGAUUGCACUCUUCCAAAUAGGGUAACUAAGAUAAGACGAUUAUUAUUUGGUUUUCGAUUCUUGUUAGCUCAAUGAGUAUGGGAAAAUACAACUUUCAUCUCAUGUGGUCAACACUGCAAUUGUUCGACACAAGUAAUUUUUUUUUGGUGCUAUGUGUUUGUCAAUUUUGGGUCGGGGCCCAGUCGCGCUACUCCACUUUUGAUGAAAUUUGUGAACUUUUUUUUUGCAACCCUUUUCUUGCUCUCCAAGUGCCAGUUUCUUCUUUGCUACUUACUGCUUAUCUAUAAAGUAUUGUUAACUAAGUUAUCGACACUUAAGUUUUUGGCAAAUUUCCUCUACCCGUUACUUGAUAUUACCUUACGUCAACCGCCAACGAUUUUUCCUUAUCCAUAUUGUGCGGCUAAUUUUCGCAUAAAAUAGGGCCCAUUCCCAUUCAAUUUUAAUCUUUUCUUCAGACAAUCGGUUCGAAUUGUUUUCAAAAGAGCAAAAGGUUCGCUUCCUUAGUGAUUUUCCUCCCUUUUAUUAAAAAAAACUUAUACAUCUUGCG
RNAcentral lists this long non-coding RNA (3056 nucleotides) under Schizosaccharomyces pombe (fission yeast). RNAcentral's name for it is "non-coding RNA, possible alternative UTR". Lineage: Eukaryota; Fungi; Ascomycota; Schizosaccharomycetes; Schizosaccharomycetales; Schizosaccharomycetaceae. The record is from RNAcentral.